Molecule: ribosomal RNA, 253 nt
Filed under: uncultured bacterium
Lineage: Bacteria
Description: partial 16S ribosomal RNA
Rfam family: Bacterial small subunit ribosomal RNA
Source: RNAcentral
UACAGAGGUCUCAAGCGUUGUUCGGAUUCAUUGGGCGUAAAGGGUGCGUAGGUGGCGGGGCAAGUCAGGUGUGAAAUCUCGGGGCUCAACCCCGAAACUGCACUUGAUACUGCCUUGCUCGAGUACUGGAGAGGAGACUGGAAUUUACGGUGUAGCAGUGAAAUGCGUAGAUAUCAGGAAGAACACCUAUGGCGAAGGCAGCUCUCUGGGACGGUACUGACGCUGAGACGCGAAAGCGUGGGGAGCGAACAGG